AAAAACAAGUUCUUGAUUUUUUUGGGAAGCCCCCCCCCCGCCCCAAUUUUUCAGGUUUUAUUUCGCCCAAAAUUUUUGGGGGGGGGGGGGGGGGGCUGAGCCACAGCCUGACCCGGGAAGCGGCCCCCCGGGCUGUCCUCUGGCCCGGAGGAGGAGCCUGGCUGCAGCCCUUCCAGCCCUUUCCUCCGGCUAAAAGCGCUCCUUUUCCCGGCUGGGCCUCACCUGAUCGCCCCCAAACUCCUCCAGAAGCCCCCCUGGCAGGCCUGAGGGGUCCCUCCAAGCCGGGGCUGCAGGGCAGGAGCAGAGCCUGUCCUGGGCCAUCCCUGGGGCUGGGGGACCCCCGGCCAUCCCCGCUGAGGGAGGGCGUCCCACGGCGGUGGAUGAAGGAAUGGCAGUGCCUGGGCCCGUCCGCCUGGAACCUGGGCGGCCCCCGGAGCUCCCCUGAGGACACGGCCCGGCACAGGCGGGAUCCCAGCUGGCCGGGGUGGGGGAGGGGGCUGCACUCACCUGCGAGGGGGGCCUCGGGGUCCCGGGGGCCUCUCCCUCUGGCUGCGGGCUCUCUGCGGGGGUCACACGGGGGUCCUUCAGGCAGCCCCAAGGAGGGGCGAGGUCUCCGGCCUGCUGGGGUCCGCAGUAGCGGGGAUCUGGCGUGGGGGGGCGAAGAGUGGACGGGGCGCACGGGGUCAGAGGUCAGCGAGGGUCACGGGGAGCAGACGUGGUGAGGCCGGCCGAGGAAGGAGGGAGCCUAGGUGAGGGUCAGGGGUCGGCGCGGGGGGAGGGGCCCGGAGCUGACCCUCGCGCCCCUACCCCGCCCUGCACUUUCAGCCUCUGGGCCUCGAGGGACAAAGAAGGGGGCCCCCUCUGGCCUGACGCGGGGUGCACACCCAGUGCGGGCGCCUCCUCCUCCGGGCCGCCCUCCCGGACUCCGGGUCCGGGGUCUUGGCCCUUUUGCCCUCGAAGCCCUUCCCUGAGGGAUGGACUCCAGGCCGCAGUGGGGCCUUGGAAGUAGAGCUAGCAGGUGUAGACGCCCUCCCGCCCCGGAGGAGAGGCACCACCGAAACCCAGACUUCUGGGGCGACCCCCCCCCCAUGGGGAGCCUGAGGGCGGGAAAGGUGGGGACGCGAGGGGGAGGGGAGGGCGGGGGCAGGGAAGGGCCCGCCGGCUCCCCCCUUUUUAUGGCCCACUUUAUCGGCCACUGGGUCUUCCCCGGAUUUUUCUUGCCCGGCCUCUACAUCUUGGGGCCCCCUCGUGCCCCCAGGGUGCCCCUGCCUGCGGCCUGAAGGAGCUGGGAGUCCCCUUUCCUGGGGCCCGUCUUGGGGUUCUCCCCCAGGCCUGCCUUUGGUGGAUGGGGGGGGUCUCCUGAGCCUUCCUGCUCCCUCCCCGCUUUGGGCCGUGGAGCCCCAAAACUACCUGCCCGACGUUCUGUUUGGGCUCCCGGGGGGCCGCCCAGCCUCUGCUGUUAAGGGGGGGCGGGGCACGGCAGGCCGCCGGGGCAUCCC
This 1499-nucleotide long non-coding RNA is filed under the name Monodelphis domestica (gray short-tailed opossum). RNAcentral's name for it is "lncRNA (ENSMODG00000040755.1)". The record is from RNAcentral. Lineage: Eukaryota; Metazoa; Chordata; Mammalia; Didelphimorphia; Didelphidae.